GAGUUUGAUUAUGGCUCAGGACAAACGCUGGCGGCGUGCUUAACACAUGCAAGUCGAACGAUGAAACGGAACGGAAAUUUUCGGAUGGAAGUUCUGUGGAUUAGUGGCGGACGGGUGAGUAAUGCAUGAAGAACCUGCCUUUCACAUAGGGAUAGCCUCGGGAAACCGGGAUUAAUACCAAAUGACACUCCGAGAUCGCAUGUUUUUGGGGUUAAAGAUUUUAUCGGUGAAAGAUGGCUUCAUGUCCCAUUAGCUGGUUGGUGAGGUAACGGCUCACCAAGGCGACGAUGGGUAGCCGGCCUGAGAGGGUGAACGGCCACAUUGGAACUGAGACACGGUCCAAACUCCUACGGGAGGCAGCAGUGGGGAAUAUUGCACAAUGGAGGAAACUCUGAUGCAGCGACGCCGCGUGAGCGAUGAAGGUCUUCGGAUCGUAAAGCUCUGUCCUAAGGGACGAUAAUGACG
RNAcentral lists this ribosomal RNA (465 nucleotides) under Tissierella sp. canine oral taxon 029. Its description in RNAcentral is "bacterial SSU rRNA". It matches the Rfam family "Bacterial small subunit ribosomal RNA", at positions 9 to 456 of the family's 1533-position model. Lineage: Bacteria; Bacillati; Bacillota; Tissierellia; Tissierellales; Tissierellaceae. The record is from RNAcentral.